Molecule: ribosomal RNA, 696 nt
Filed under: Clostridioides difficile
Lineage: Bacteria; Bacillati; Bacillota; Clostridia; Peptostreptococcales; Peptostreptococcaceae
Description: bacterial LSU rRNA
Rfam family: Bacterial large subunit ribosomal RNA
Source: RNAcentral
CCAACGAGUUACGUUAAGUAGCAAGGUUAAGCACUUAAGGUGCGGAGCCGUAGCGAAAGCGAGUUUUAACUGAGCGUUCAGUUACUUGACGUAGUCCCGGAACCGGUCGACCUACCCAUGGGCAUGUGGAAGCGAAAGUAGAAUUCCGUGGAGGUCGGAACCAUCGAGCGUUGAAAAGCGCGGGGAUGACUUGUGGGUAGGGGUGAAAUUCCAAUCGGGGCCGGAGAUAGCUGGUUCUCCCCGAAAGAGCUUUAGGGCUUGCCUCAAGGUGAGGGAUACGGAGGUAGGGCACUGAAUGUCCUAGGGGGUAUUGCACCUACCGAAGACUAUCAAACUCCGAAUGCCGUCAUCUUAUACUUGGGAGUCAGACUGUGGGUGAUAAGAUUCAUAGUCGAAAGGGCAACAGCCCAGAUCGUCAGCUAAGGUCCCUAAAUGUAAGUUAAGUGGUAAAGGAUGUGGGAUUGCACAGACAACCAGGAUGUUGGCUUAGAAGCAGCCACUCAUUCAAAGAGUGCGUAAUAGCUCACUGGUCGAGUGAUCCUGCGCCGAAGAUUUCCGGGGCUAAAACUUACUACCGAAGCUACGGCAUCAGUAAUGAUGGGUAGGGGAGCUUCCCAUACGGGUUGAAGCAUGACCGUAAGGACAUGUGGACAGUAUGGGAGUGAGAAUGUUGGCAUGAGUAGCGAGAUGUGGGUG